GAGCUCCACGUAGUAAAACGUGUCGAGUUUUGGAUUGGUGAGGAGAGGGGUAAAAAUGGUAUUUCGGGUAACGGCUGAUUCGCCGAAGACGAUAUAAGACGGUUUAGCUGAACCAAUCCGGUCUACAAGGCAGUAUGAGAAUUUCUGACCGAACCGGUUACCGGCUUGACCCGGAAACGAGAGUUUCCCUUUUCCUAACCCUAAUAAACCGGCAGCUCCGAUAAACAAACCUUCAUUAUCAUGGCCGCAUCCAAACGAAAUAUUGCUAACACUUGUUUUUCUGAAAUUUAAAGUUUCCGUCGAGUAUUCACCGACGGUAAACGAACCAUCGCCGUAUGAGACUUGGUAAAGGCAUUUGUUCCGAUUGUUACAUCCUGAGGAAUCAAGUCGGCGGCACAACGGAGAAUCACAAGUGACCGUAGAGAAGGAAGACGACUUACUCGGGUCAAAAACCGGGUCUGAUUGAGAGUAACAUUUCGAACAAGGCAAACAUUGGAUCCAAACAAUAUCACUACCCGUAUCUAGAACUAAGUAAACGUACUUAACCGGCGUACCGAUACCAAUACGGGUAAAAUACUCACCACUCCCCUGAGAUAGACCGGAGAUAACAGAGCUGCUGAAAUCCUUACCGGUGGAAUUAGCGGAAAGAAGGGAAAGGGAUUUGGCUCUAAUAGCAUCGCGUUGGAGGCGGAGUUUGAACAAUGCAUGAGGAGUUGCGUUGAAGGAUGAAGGUGAAAGUAAGUCGACAUGGUGUAAUUGUACAGAGAGAGUAUUUUCGUUAUCGGAAGAUAGUUGUGGUUCCCAUGAGAGAGAUUGAAGUUGAGGGAGAGGAUUUAGGGUCAGUGUUUGAUACUGAAGAGAAUGAGCUGCAGCAAAAAUGGUGAAGAAGAAGAGAACUGAAAUGAG
RNAcentral lists this unclassified non-coding RNA (906 nucleotides) under Hevea brasiliensis (rubber tree). Lineage: Eukaryota; Viridiplantae; Streptophyta; Magnoliopsida; Malpighiales; Euphorbiaceae. The record is from RNAcentral.